Melitaea cinxia (Glanville fritillary) is the source of this 262-nucleotide long non-coding RNA. RefSeq lists it as uncharacterized. The record is from RefSeq and is a predicted model, not a curated record. NCBI's taxonomy places the organism in Eukaryota, Metazoa, Arthropoda, Insecta, Lepidoptera, Nymphalidae. The transcript has 2 exons.
UGACUAAAAAACCACCACGUGUGAGCAAUCGUCCGCCUGGGUGGGGCGAGAUGCGGUUGCGCUAGCAUUCGCCAUCUCAAGGUUUUAAGUGCCUAUCUUAGGGAUAGACGACUGUGUUAACAGGUGAUUCAUAUGCGUGCAUCUGGUAAAAAAUGUGCAUAUAAAUCAUGCAUAUACACAUAACCUACCAUAGCUGAAAUUAUACGUGAACAAAAUGAAGCAGUAGUAAGUACAGCUCAUUACUAAGUAACUUUAAAAUCGA